RNAcentral lists this ribosomal RNA (990 nucleotides) under Megascolecidae sp. YN201753-01. Its description in RNAcentral is "partial small subunit ribosomal RNA". The record is from RNAcentral. Lineage: Eukaryota; Metazoa; Annelida; Clitellata; Crassiclitellata; Megascolecidae.
UGUAAGCAUACCUCUAAAAGAACAAGUGUGCCACUAUGACUAAAACUCAUAUACAUCAGGUCAAAGUGCAGCCAAUGAAAAGGAGACGAUGGGUUACAACCCAAAAACAGAGUAUCAAUCGAGAUAUAAAAAAUCUUAAGAAAGUGGACUUGGCCGUAAUUAAUUUACAAGUUAAAAAUAUGAAUAAAAAUCUAAGACAUGCACACAUCGCCCGUCACUCUACCCUAAAGGGUAGAUAAGUCGUAACAAAGUAGGUGUAAUGGAAAUUGCACCUGUCGAAGUAUAGCAUAUAAAAUGCUUUCUACUUACACUAGAACCAAAGUUAAGUAACUUACUUCGCACAAUAAAACAAAUCCUCCAAUAAUAAAUAAUAGAAAUAACUAUAUAAUAAAAUAAUAAAUAAAGUACAGAAAUGGAAAUAGUAAUAAAUAAUAGUAAAUAUUAACAAUUGUACCUUGUGCAUUAUGGUUUUACAAGAAAAUAAUUAAAUAUAUUUAUCCCGAAUUCUAAAUGAGAUGUUAAACUGCCGUUAAGAACCCACUAAUAUCUGUAGAAAAAGAUUUAAAAGACAGUUUAACAGAGGCUACAUACCAUACGCAUAAGAAUAUAGCUGGUUUUCAACAAAAAUUAUAUAUUAAAUCAUAUAAUUAUAUUAUAGUGUAAUAUUAUUGAGGAUAAGCCCAAUAAUCUAAGCAAUAUUUAUAAAUUUCAUUAUUAACUAAUAGGCCUAAAAUCAGCCAACUAAAAUACUUUACCGUAUAAAGUAUAGAUAAAAUAUAUAACUAUGAAUAAUGCCAAAUAAAGUUGAAAUAAUAGAUAAAUCAAUUUAAUCCUUUUAUACUAUGUAAAAAUAAGUAUUAUAAAAUUAUAUCAUAUACAACCCAGUAAAUACAAUAAACAAAACAAAAUAAUUAAUUAAGGAACUCGGCAAAUAAGUAUUUCGACUGUUUAACAAAAACAUUGUCCCAUGAAUAAAAUAUGGGAUAACAC